Long non-coding RNA from Brassica napus (rape), 1316 nucleotides. RefSeq lists it as uncharacterized. The transcript has 2 exons. NCBI's taxonomy places the organism in Eukaryota, Viridiplantae, Streptophyta, Magnoliopsida, Brassicales, Brassicaceae. The record is from RefSeq and is a predicted model, not a curated record.
UUUAUAAUAUAAAUUUUAAACUUAGACUCCAAAUAUAUUCUAAAACUCAAACCAUAUACUUAAUUAUAAAUCUUAACCCUAAACCCUAAACCACAUACUUCAUAUUAACCUACAUCAUAAAUCCUAAUUUACAAAUUUCAAAAAUUUAAAUUGUACUCUAAAUUCUAACAUAUACACUAUAACUGUGAACUCUAAAUACAAAAUCUAAAUUUUAAAUUUAAUCAAAUACAUAUACUAUAAAUGCCAAACACCAAACCCUACAUCAAACCCUAUUCUUCAAAUUGAUACUCAAACUCUAAAUCCUUUUAUAACAAUUCUUAAUUUUUUUAAGGAAAAUCAUAAUUAUAUAUCAUAAUUGAUAUUUUUGCAAUUACAAAUUGUAAUUACUGAAAUUAACCAUCACUUAAUCUUCAAACAUUAGUCUUUGUAAACAUAUAAAAUGAUAUGUCAAACUUAAUAAGAUUAAAUCAAAUAAAAUAAAAAAGAAAGAAUUGUGUGGUACAAACUACAAUCUCUAUCUCACCUCCUUUUACGUCAUUCUUCUUUUUUUAAUAGCAAUCCUAGUGAUUCUUUUCUAUUGGCUAAUACAAGAAAGUGGGGAUAACUUCUUUUUUAACCUUAACCGUUGAUGAAUUUAAUCUAAGGGACAUAAAUAUUUGCUUCUUUUUUAAUGGUUUCCUCUCUUUCUCGAUCUCUGCUCCUCUCCUCUUCUACUGUCGUAAACCUGAAAAAAAAAUGAAUCCAUCUCUUCUUCUUCUCUGGAAUAUCCACCACCAUGCUCCUUUCUAUUCGGUUGCGCCCUUCACCACCACCACCACCGCACACUCGUCAACACCACCACCGCACGCUCGUCAACACCACCACCGGUCACGAAAGUGGAGGAGGCACAGGAUUGAUGAAUGAGGCACAGGAGAUUGAUAGAGGAGGUAGCAGUGGUGGGUCGUGAGCAGAGCCGGCUUGAAUGUUGAAGACGAAGAAGCUCGGUGAGGAGGCGGCAGGCGGCGGAGAAUAUACAUUAGGUUUAGAUUAGGGUUAGGUAUAUUUUUAAUUUGGUUUAGUAUGCUAAACCGAUUUUUUUAUUAAUAGUUUGAAUCUUUUUUAUGUUUGUGUUUUGAAAUCUGGGUUCCAGGGAUAAACAGAAGAUGAAGAACAUCAGGAGACGGAGAGAAGAGAGAAGGGUUUUUUUAGAUUUUGUUUUUAAACCUGGUUUGUAUGUAAACUGGUUUAGUUUGUAAACCGAAAUUUUUUGUAAUCUGGUUUAAUUUAUAAACCGAUUGUAAACCAAAAUUUUAAUAUAAACCAAAAUCAUUUAUAAA